RNAcentral lists this unclassified non-coding RNA (371 nucleotides) under Hevea brasiliensis (rubber tree). Lineage: Eukaryota; Viridiplantae; Streptophyta; Magnoliopsida; Malpighiales; Euphorbiaceae. The record is from RNAcentral.
GGAGUCUAUGAUGAAAUGAAAGAAAAGGCUGUUCAACCUCGAGCAUAUGAUCGUGAAGAGCGGAAGCCAAAGUAUAUUCAAAAUUUGAUGAAAAAGGCACAAGAGAGAGAGAGAGAGCAGGAGAUUAUAUAUGAAAGAAAACUAGCCAAGGAGAGAAACAAAGAUGAUCAUCUGUAUGCUGGCAAGGACAAAUUUGUCACUAGUGCCUACAAAAAGAAGCUUGCAGAACAAGCAAAAUGGAUGGAGGAAGAGCGUCUCCGACAACUUCGGGAGGAGAAAGAGGAUGUUACUAAGAAGAGCGACAUUAGCGACUUUUACUUCAACCUUCAAAAGAAUAUUGCCUACGGUGCCAGAAACGCAAUUGAGCCAAG